This 253-nucleotide ribosomal RNA is filed under the name uncultured bacterium. RNAcentral's name for it is "partial 16S ribosomal RNA". It matches the Rfam family "Bacterial small subunit ribosomal RNA", at positions 524 to 776 of the family's 1533-position model. The record is from RNAcentral.
UACGUAGGGUGCGAGCGUUGUCCGGAAUUAUUGGGCGUAAAGAGCUCGUAGGCGGUGUGUCGCGUCGGCCGUGAAAACCUGGGGCUCACUCUGGGCGUGCGGUCGAUACGGGCAUCACUAGAGUUCGGCAGGGGAGACUGGAAUUCCUGGUGUAGCGGUGAAAUGCGCAGAUAUCAGGAGGAACACCGGUGGCGAAGGCGGGUCUCUGGGCCGAUACUGACGCUGAGGAGCGAAAGCAUGGGUAGCGAACAGG